RNAcentral lists this ribosomal RNA (450 nucleotides) under uncultured bacterium. RNAcentral describes it as "partial 16S ribosomal RNA". It matches the Rfam family "Bacterial small subunit ribosomal RNA", at positions 354 to 796 of the family's 1533-position model. The record is from RNAcentral.
GUGGGGAAUCUUCCGCAAUGGACGAAAGUCUGACGGAGCGACGCCGCGUGAGUGAAGAAGGCCUUCGGGUCGUAAAGCUCUGUCAUCAGGGACGAACGGCCGGUGGAGUGGAAAGCCACCGGAUUGACGGUACCUGAGAAGGAAGCCACGGCUAACUACGUGCCAGCAGCCGCGGUAAUACGUAGGUGGCAAGCGUUGUCCGGAAUUAUUGGGCGUAAACCGCGCGCAGGUGGGAUCUUAAGUCCAUUUUUAAAGUUCGGAGCUCAACUCAGUGAUGGGAUGGAAACUGGGAUUCUUGAGUACCGGAGAGGAAAGCGGAAUUCCCCGUGUAGCGGUGAAAUGCGUAGAUAUGGGGAGGAACACCAGUGGCGAAGGCGGCUUACUGGACUGUAACUGACGUUGAGGCUCGAAAGCGUGGGGAGCAAACAGGAUUAGAAACCCUUGUAGUCC